Molecule: ribosomal RNA, 696 nt
Filed under: uncultured bacterium
Lineage: Bacteria
Description: bacterial SSU rRNA
Rfam family: Bacterial small subunit ribosomal RNA
Source: RNAcentral
AACGCUAGCUACAGGCUUAACACAUGCAAGUCGAGGGGAAACGACAUCGAAAGCUUGCUUUUGAUGGGCGUCGACCGGCGCACGGGUGAGUAACGCGUAUCCAACCUGCCCACCACUUGGGGAUAACCUUGCGAAAGUAAGACUAAUACCCGAUGAUAUCUCUAGACGACAUCUGAAAGGGAUUAAAGAUUUAUCGGUGAUGGAUGGGGAUGCGUCUGAUUAGCUUGUUGGCGGGGUAACGGCCCACCAAGGCGACGAUCGGUAGGGGUUCUGAGAGGAAGGUCCCCCACAUCGGAACUGAGACACGGUCCAAACUCCUACGGGAGGCAGCAGUGAGGAAUAUUGGUCAAUGGACGCAAGUCUGAACCAGCCAAGUAGCGUGCAGGAUGACGGCCCUAUGGGUUGUAAACUGCUUUUAUGCGGGGAUAAAGUGUGGGACGUGUCCCAUAUUGCAGGUACCGCAUGAAUAAGGACCGGCUAAUUCCGUGCCAGCAGCCGCGGUAAUACGGAAGGUCCGGGCGUUAUCCGGAUUUAUUGGGUUUAAAGGGAGCGUAGGCCGUCGUUUAAGCGUGUUGUGAAAUGCCGCGGCUCAACCGUGGCACUGCAGCGCGAACUGGAUGACUUGAGUUCGCGGGAGGUAGGCGGAAUUCGUGGUGUAGCGGUGAAAUGCUUAGAUAUCACGAAGAACUCCGAUUG